GAGCGAGCGACGCGGGUUCUGGGGUUCUUACUGAAGUGCGGCGGCGGCGGCGGCAAGUUGUGGGGCGGCAGCAUGUUCAGCUGGAUGGGGCGGCAGGCUGGCGGGCGCGAGCGCUCGGGCGGCAUGGACGCGGUGCAGACGGUGACGGGCGGCCUGCGCUCUCUGUACCAGCGCAAGGUGCUGCCGCUGGAGGAGGCGUACCGCUUCCACGAGUUUCACUCGCCAGCGCUGGAGGACGCCGACUUCGAAAACAAGCCCAUGAUCCUGCUGGUGGGCCAGUACAGCACGGGCAAGACCACGUUCAUCAGAUACUUACUGGAGCAAGAUUUCCCAGGCAUGAGAAUUGGUCCAGAGCCAACCACAGAUUCCUUCAUUGCUGUGAUGUAUGGGGAGACUGAGGGAAGCACCCCUGGGAAUGCUUUAGUUGUGGAUCCCAAAAAGCCAUUCCGAAAGCUUAGUCGCUUUGGAAAUGCUUUCCUGAACAGAUUCAUGUGCUCACAGCUGCCCAACCAAGUUCUGAAGAGCAUCAGCAUCAUCGACAGUCCUGGCAUUCUGUCUGGGGAGAAGCAGCGCAUAAGCCGAGGUCAGGUAUGACUUCUGCCAGGUCUUACAGUGGUUUGCCGAGAGGGUUGACAGGAUCAUCCUGCUCUUUGACGCUCACAAAUUGGACAUCUCAGAUGAGUUCUCAGAGGCGAUCAAGGCCUUCCGGGGCCAGGAUGACAAAAUCCGAGUGGUACUGAACAAGGCUGACCAAGUGGAUACACAGCAGCUGAUGCGAGUCUAUGGGGCCCUCAUGUGGUCUCUGGGCAAGGUCAUCAACACACCUGAAGUACUUCGAGUCUACAUUGGUUCAUUUUGGGCACAGCCCCUGCAAAACACCGACAACCGCCGGCUCUUUGAGGCUGAAGCACAGGACCUCUUCCGAGACAUCCAGAGCCUGCCCCAGAAGGCUGCAGUGCGCAAACUCAAUGACCUCAUCAAGCGUGCAAGGUUGGCCAAAGUCCACGCCUACAUCAUCAGCUACCUGAAGAAGGAAAUGCCAAAUAUGUUUGGAAAAGAAAAUAAGAAGCGAGAACUUAUCUACAGGCUCCCGGAAAUCUAUGUUCAGCUGCAGCGAGAAUACCAGAUUUCUGCAGGGGACUUCCCUGAGGUCAAGGCCAUGCAGGAGCAGCUGGAGAACUACGACUUCACCAAGUUCCACUCACUGAAGCCCAAGCUGAUCGAGGCUGUGGACAACAUGCUGACCAACAAGAUCUCAUCCCUGAUGGGCCUCAUCAGCCAGGAGGAGAUGAACAUGCCCACGCAGAUGGUGCAGGGCGGCGCCUUUGAUGGCACCACAGAGGGGCCCUUCAACCAGGGCUAUGGGGAGGGGGCCAAGGAGGGGGCCGAUGAGGAAGAGUGGGUCGUGGCUAAAGACAAGCCGGUGUAUGACGAACUCUUUUACACGCUGUCACCCAUCAAUGGCAAGAUAUCGGGUGUCAACGCCAAGAAGGAGAUGGUGACCUCCAAGCUGCCCAACAGUGUCCUGGGCAAGAUCUGGAAGCUGGCCGACUGCGACUGCGACGGCAUGCUAGACGAGGAGGAGUUCGCGCUGGCCAAGCACCUCAUCAAGAUCAAGCUGGACGGCUACGAGCUGCCCAACAGCCUGCCCCCACACCUGGUGCCCCCCUCCCACAGGAAGUCCCUGCCAAAGGCUGACUGAGGGCCCACAGCUGGGGUGGGAGGGGUGGUGCCUGGGCCUGAAGUCUGCUCUGCCACUGACUCGCUGAAUGUCCGUGGCCAAAGUUCCGUCCUCUCCGUGACUCGGUUUUCUCAUAUGUAGGGCAGGGAGGGCAGAUCCCGGACACUAGAUGAGGUCUUUAUGCCUCUAAAAUCCUGAAGUUUCUAUCAAAAUAUUGAGAAGAGCAGUAUAUAGAUAUGGAGAUCAAAGAAUAAGAAGAAAAAAAAAUUAUCCAAAGAAGAAUGUAGGUGUGACACAGGCUGUCGAAGUCUGGGCACUCAGGGAUUGAGCCAGGGACUCACUGGAGCCAUCAGAGCUGUGCUGGACAGUAAGUUACCAUGAGCCUCUUUGUCCUUCAGGGGGCACUGAGAGGCAGCAAAGGACCUAAUUUAUUUUUCUUACUGUGUUUCCUGCUCUAUCUAGAGAGGAAAAGGAACAGAACAGAGAGUUUCUGCCUUCCAUAGAUUAAAAACCAAAGAGAAGACUAAUACCCAGGUUUGAAAGAGGAUGUGCCAUGUCUGUGUGGGCCCAUCUGCAGUCCCCAUCAGAGUAGGCAGCCAGGCAAGGAGAACCUGUCUUGUCCCAGCACCUGCUGCCUGACCCUGCCAAGCCUCCCUCAGUUAGGAAUUCAUAAUUCACAAACUGUCAGCCCCUGGCAAGACCUGUGUGCCCUUCAACCACUGAAUGUCCCCAAAGCUUUUUUGGUAGGUGGCAGAAUUUAAAUUCAAUAAAGCUUGUCUUGAUUUGUGUGGAGUCCCAGAGCCUUCGGACCCAGGUAAAGCGAGAGCAGCCCCAUCCUGAGCUGUGAGUGGAAGAGACCAGCGCCCUGGUGAUUGAUGAUGUUGUUUGAUUUUUAAAGAAAGAAAUGCAUUUCAUUGUGUCCAGGUAUGUUUUUCUCACAAGAUGUAGCCUCUCUGAAGAAAUCUCUGUAAUACCUUUUCUUCCAAGCUAGACACCUCACAUCAGGAGUGCCUAUCUGGGCCAGGAUUGGUCUACUUCUGCCUCUUCAGUGUUCUUUCCCAAGCCCACCUAGUCAGGCGCCGCAGGGGCUGCCUCCUACUGUACCCUGCUCUGUGGCCCAGCAGAAGAACACUGUCACCAUCACUUACGAAGUAGGAAUCACAGCGCAGCAGUGACCACAUGACCAACAGCAGCAGAAAUGAAUGAAUCUGAACAGCAUCCCUGAAUCUUCACAAAAACAUACUCCAAUCCCUAAUUGUCUGCAUCUGGCAACCUCAGGGUCAGAACCGGGGAUUUAAGAGAAAAUGCUAAGAGCUCACACCCAUUUCGCAGCACUUGGGAGGCAGAUGCAGGGGGAUUACCAUGAGUUCGAAGCCAGUCUGAACUACAUCGUUUGUUUUAUGGUAGUCUGUGUAAAACAGAAUACUUACGCCACCAUUCACACUUCCUAUCUUACUUUCUAAAUAAUGGUUUUAAGAGAAACACAGUGUUUGCUUUACUCUGAAAGCGUGUUUUUAUUAAUUGGACACACACAGGUGAAUGUUUGAUCCCGGGGCUGUAACUGUAUUUGUGUCAGUGUCCAUGGAGAGGUGAUGCCUGGGAGGUCUUGACUUUCCUCCUAGUUGUCUUCUGCUUUCUCUGCACAGUUGUCAUAUAUCUACCUAAAUAUAAUCACAAAUGUA
Molecule: RNA transcript, 3363 nt
Organism: Mus musculus (house mouse)
Lineage: Eukaryota; Metazoa; Chordata; Mammalia; Rodentia; Muridae
Gene: Ehd4
Gene name: EH-domain containing 4
Exons: 6
Source: RefSeq, marked validated